This 413-nucleotide ribosomal RNA is filed under the name uncultured prokaryote. Its description in RNAcentral is "bacterial SSU rRNA". It matches the Rfam family "Bacterial small subunit ribosomal RNA", at positions 505 to 918 of the family's 1533-position model. The record is from RNAcentral.
GUGCCAGCAGCCGCGGUAAUACGAGAGGCCCGAGCGUUAAUCGGAAUCACUGGGCUUAAAGGGUGUGUAGGCGGUUCGGCAAGUCAGAUGUGAAAUCCCCCGGCCUAACCGGGGAACUGCGUUUGAAACUGCCGUGCUUGAGUGCGAUAGGGGUGCGCGGAACUUCCAGUGGAGCGGUGAAAUGCGUUGAUAUUGGAAGGAACGCCGGUGGCGAAAGCGGCGCACUGGGUCGUUACUGACGCUGAGACACGAAAGCCAGGGGAGCGAACGGGAUUAGAUACCCCGGUAGUCCUGGCUGUAAACGAUGGGCACUAGACGGGAGACGCUUCGGCGGAUCCGGUCGCAGCGAAAGCACUAAGUGCCCCGCCUGGGGAGUAUGGUCGCAAGGCUGAAACUUAAAUGAAUUGGCGGGG